AUACGGAGGAUCCGAGCGUUAUCCGGAUUUAUUGGGUUUAAAGGGUGCGCAGGCGGCCAUUUAAGUCAGCGGUUAAAUCGUGGGGCUCAACCCCAUUCUGCCGUUGAUACUGGGUGGCUUGAUUGCGGUCGAGGUUGGCGGAAUUCGUUGUGUAGCGGUGAAAUGCAUAGAUAUGACGAAGAACACCGAUUGCGUAGGCAGCUGACCAGACCGCAAAUGACGCUCAUGCACGAAAGUGCGGGGAUCGAACAGGAUUAGAUACCCUGGUAGUCCGCACAGUAAACGAUGAAUACUUGGUUUCGGCGAUAUAAUGUCGGAGGCAAAGCGAAAGCGAUAAGUAUUCCACCUGGGGAGUACGCCGGCAACGGUGAAACUCAAAGGAAUUGACGGG
This 391-nucleotide ribosomal RNA is filed under the name uncultured bacterium. Its description in RNAcentral is "partial 16S ribosomal RNA". It matches the Rfam family "Bacterial small subunit ribosomal RNA", at positions 523 to 917 of the family's 1533-position model. The record is from RNAcentral.